GAGCUUGCUCCCUGAUGUUAGCGGCGGACGGGUGAGUAACACGUGGGUAACCUGCGUGUAAGACUUGGAUAACUCCGGGAAACCGGAGCUAAUACCGGAUGCUUGUUUGAACCGCAUGGUUCAAACAUAAAAGGUGGCUUCGGCUACCACUUACAGAUGGACCCGCGGCGCAUUAGCUAGUUGGUGAGGUAACGGCUCACCAAGGCAACGAUGCGUAGCCGACCUGAGAGGGUGAUCGGCCACACUGGGACUGAGACACGGCCCAGACUCCUACGGGAGGCAGCAGUAGGGAAUCUUCCGCAAUGGACGAAAGUCUGACGGAGCAACGCCGCGUGAGUGAUGAAGGUUUUCGGAUCGUAAAGCUCUGUUGUUAGGGAAGAACAAGUACCGUUCGAAUAGGGCUGUACCUUGACGGUACCUAACCAGAAAGGGACGGCUAACUACGUGCCAGCAGCCGCGGUUAUACGUAGGUGGCAAGCGUUGUCCGGAAUUAUUGGGCGUAAAGGGCUCGCAGGCGGUUUCUUAAGUCUGAUGUGAAAGCCCCCGGCUCACCGGGGAGGGUCAUUGGAAACUGGGGAACUUGAGUGCUCCGGUU
Molecule: ribosomal RNA, 595 nt
Filed under: Bacillus subtilis
Lineage: Bacteria; Bacillati; Bacillota; Bacilli; Caryophanales; Bacillaceae
Description: bacterial SSU rRNA
Rfam family: Bacterial small subunit ribosomal RNA
Source: RNAcentral